RNAcentral lists this ribosomal RNA (514 nucleotides) under uncultured bacterium. RNAcentral describes it as "bacterial SSU rRNA". It matches the Rfam family "Bacterial small subunit ribosomal RNA", at positions 8 to 526 of the family's 1533-position model. The record is from RNAcentral.
AGAGUUUGAUCCUGGCUCAGGAUGAACGCUAGCGGCAGGCCUAACACAUGCAAGUCGAGCGGGUGCCAGCAAUGGUAUCAGCGGCGGACGGGUGCGUAACACGUACGUAACCUACCUUUGGAUGGGGGAUAACAGUUCGAAAGGACUGCUAAUACCGCAUAAUGCAGCGGCACCGAUGGGUGACAGUUGUUAAAGUCGAGUGACGUCUGAAGAGGGGCGUGCGUCCGAUUAGCUAGUUGGUGAGGUAACGGCCCACCAAGGCUUCGAGCGGUAGCUGGUCUGAGAGGAUGAUCAGCCACACUGGCACUGAGACACGGGCCAGACUCCGACGGGAGGCAGCAGUGGGGAAUAUUGGGCAAUGGGCGCAAGCCUGACCCAGCCAUGCCGCGUGAGGGAAGAAGGGGCAUUGCCUUGUAAACCUCUUUUCUUCGGGGAUAAGGCGCUAUUAGAUAGCGAUUGAAGGUACCGGGGGAAUAAGCACCGGCUAGCUACGUGCCAGCCGCCGCGGUAAUAC